Molecule: small RNA, 37 nt
Filed under: Propionibacterium australiense
Lineage: Bacteria; Bacillati; Actinomycetota; Actinomycetes; Propionibacteriales; Propionibacteriaceae
Description: CRISPR_Spacer
Source: RNAcentral
CUCAUGCCUGGCCGCACGGCCGGCGCCCCACCAUCCG